CGCAUCCUUCGGGGCAGGGUGAAAUUCCCGACCGGCGGUAAUGAAACAGUUGUUUCUCAGCCCGCGAGCCGUUAAGGCACGAUCCGGUGCGAUUCCGGAGCCGACAGUAUAGUCUGGAUGGGAGAAGGAUUGC
RNAcentral lists this non-coding RNA (133 nucleotides) under Anoxybacillus flavithermus. RNAcentral describes it as "FMN sequence". It matches the Rfam family "FMN riboswitch aptamer (RFN element)". From Rfam's summary of the family: The RFN element is a highly conserved domain that is found frequently in the 5'-untranslated regions of prokaryotic mRNAs that encode for flavin mononucleotide (FMN) biosynthesis and transport proteins. This element is a metabolite-dependent riboswitch that directly binds FMN in the absence of proteins. Lineage: Bacteria; Bacillati; Bacillota; Bacilli; Caryophanales; Anoxybacillaceae. The record is from RNAcentral.